ACGCGCUUGCCGCUGGCGUCUCGGCCAGAGAACUCCAUGCCCAGCAGACAGCUGCGGAGGGCCCACUUCCCUGGGGACAGACGGUGGGGGCCGGGGGGUGCUUGCCCCG
Herpailurus yagouaroundi (jaguarundi) is the source of this 109-nucleotide long non-coding RNA. RefSeq lists it as uncharacterized. The record is from RefSeq and is a predicted model, not a curated record. The transcript is spliced from 3 exons. Lineage: Eukaryota; Metazoa; Chordata; Mammalia; Carnivora; Felidae.